This 1168-nucleotide long non-coding RNA is filed under the name Mus pahari (shrew mouse). RNAcentral's name for it is "predicted gene 29040 (MGP_PahariEiJ_G0005913.1)". The record is from RNAcentral. Lineage: Eukaryota; Metazoa; Chordata; Mammalia; Rodentia; Muridae.
CCUGGCCCCAGGAGGACGACCUUGGCUUGCCUGCUCUUGUCACUAUCUGCACCCCCCCCCCACUUCCAGCCUCCAAGUAGAGCUCCUGAACGUCAAGCAUCGAUGUCAUAGAGGGUGUUAGAGGCACACGUGUAGGCUAUGCCUUGGACGUACUGAGUGGAACACUCGAGCAGAGCCCAGCAUCUGUGUUUCAGUCAGCCUUUUGGGAAACACUGGCCUGUCUGGCACUCCAUGAUCCCCUUUGGUGGUCUUGGCAAAUCACAGCAUUGGAAAACACUCUAGUCACUACACCGAGAGCUUUCAAAUGUACACUUAACAGAAUGCCAACUGCAGCGACAGAAGGGAAAACUUGGGUAGCAAGAGAGUACGUUCCAUAUUCUUCUCUUCAGUUAUAAUGAGGGGUUUGCAGGUAUCAGAUCCUGCCCGGCACGGGCCUGACAUCCUCAAGAGAUGGUUCUGUGAAGAAUGUCAUUGGAAUUUUGAAGAGAAUUGCAUCAAAUCUGUAGGUUAUUUUGCUUGCAAAAUAAUAACAAUUCACAAGGUGACUCCACUGACUUUGUCCUGACCCUGACUGUGAGUGAACAGCGGUGUGGCUGAUGAGCAAAUCUGAGGGAAAUCAAAAGCUGAGGGAAGACAACUGUAAGCUUGGAUGUGUUCGGGGCACCUGGAGAAGCGGCCCAUGUGAGGCCAAGUCCAACAUUAGUGAUCCAGGAUGAAGAAGGGAAAGAAUUCAGCCAUCCGCAAUGACACCGAGGUCUCAGAGAAUUGAGAAUGCUCAGAGACCUGUCAAGAGCACAUGAGUGACAGGGAAGGCAACUCCUGGGAUGGAAGCCAGCUGCUCCUCUUGGUUCAGUGCCAUUGGCCAGGCUGGCACACAGGAACACAUGCUCACAUCUCCCUGUGCUGGAGCAGCUGUCAAGUACUUAGCCUUUGACAUGACCUUUGGGGAUCCUCAUUGACUUGCUUCAGGCAGUGGUUUUCCAUGAAUUCAUGUGAUGCCGAUUUCCACACAAGAGUCCUUAUUUUUUCCAUGUAAAACGAACACAUUAUACCCUAAACAUUUACACAGUAAGAGAUGAAUUGUUCAUUUAGAUGGUUCCAGUUUCAUUGCUGAUUUUUCUGUAAGUUUACCUGUAUUUUCGAUGUUUCUAACUGGUAUGUUGAAGCC